CCUACGGGUGGCAGCAGUAGGGAAUAUUGCUCAAUGGGGGAAACCCUGACCCAGCAACGCCGCGUGGAGGAUGAAGGUCUUCGGAUUGUAAACUUCUUUUGUCAGGGAAGAAAAAGAUGACGGUAAAUGAUUAAUAAGCCGCGGAUAACGACGUACCAGCAGCCGCGGUAAUACGUAGGCGGCAAGCGUUAUCCGGAAUGACUGGGUGUAAAGGGGGAGUAGGGGGGAUAGCAAGUCAGAUGUGAAAUCCAAUGGCUCAACCAUGGUACUGCAUUUGAAACUGUUGUUCUUGAGUGUAGGAGAGGCAGGUGGAAUUCUUGGUGUAGCGGUGAAAUGCGUAGAUAUAAGGAGGAACACUAGUGGCGAAGGCGGCCUGCUAGAACAUAACUGACGCUGAUGCGCGAAAGCGUGGGGAGCAAACAGGAUUAGAUACCCGGGUAGUC
Molecule: ribosomal RNA, 443 nt
Filed under: uncultured bacterium
Lineage: Bacteria
Description: partial 16S ribosomal RNA
Rfam family: Bacterial small subunit ribosomal RNA
Source: RNAcentral